Molecule: ribosomal RNA, 497 nt
Filed under: uncultured bacterium
Lineage: Bacteria
Description: partial 16S ribosomal RNA
Rfam family: Bacterial small subunit ribosomal RNA
Source: RNAcentral
GACGAACGCUGGCAGCGUGCCUAAUACAUGCAAGUAGAACGCUGAAGCGAGGAGCUUGCUCUUCUUGGGUGAGUUGCGCACGGGUGAGUAACGCGUAGGUAACCUGCCUUGUAGCGGGGGAUAACUAUUGGAAACGAUAGCUAAUACCGCAUAACAAUGGAUGACACAUGUCAUUUAUUUGAAAGGGGCAAUUGCUCCACUACAAGAUGGACCUGCGUUGUAUUAGCUAGUAGGUGAGGUAAUGGCUCACCUAGGCGACGAUACAUAGCCGACCUGAGAGGGUGAUCGGCCACACUGGGACUGAGACACGGCCCAGACGCCUACGGGAGGCAGCAGGAGGGAAUCUUCGGCAAUGGGGGCAACCCUGACCGAGCAACGCCGCGUGAGUGAAGAAGGUUGUCGGAUCGUAAAGCUCUGUUGUAAGUCAAGAACGGGUGUGAGAGUGGAAAGUUCACACUGUGACGGUAGCUUACCAGAAAGGGACGGCUAACUACGUG